CCUACGGGAGGCAGCAGUGGGGAAUUUUGGACAAUGGGGGAAACCCUGAUCCAGCAAUGCCGCGUGUGUGAAGAAGGCCUUCGGGUUGUAAAGCACUUUUGUCCGGAAAGAAAUCCUUUGGGCUAAUACCCCGGGGGGAUGACGGUACCGGAAGAAUAAGCACCGGCUAACUACGUGCCAGCAGCCGCGGUAAUACGUAGGGUGCAAGCGUUAAUCGGAAUUACUGGGCGUAAAGCGUGCGCAGGCGGUUCGCUAAGACCGAUGUGAAAUCCCCGGGCUUAACCUGGGAACUGCAUUGGUGACUGGCGGGCUAGAGUAUGGCAGAGGGGGGUAGAAUUCCACGUGUAGCAGUGAAAUGCGUAGAGAUGUGGAGGAAUACCGAUGGCGAAGGCAGCCCCCUGGGCCAAUACUGACGCUCAUGCACGAAAGCGUGGGGAGCAAACAGGAUUAGAUACCCUGGUAGUCCACGCCCUAAACGAUGUCAACUAGUUGUUGGGGAUUCAUUUCCUUAGUAACGUAGCUAACGCGUGAAGUUGACCGCCUGGGGAGUACGGUCGCAAGAUUAAAACUCAAAGGAAUUGACGG
Molecule: ribosomal RNA, 585 nt
Filed under: uncultured Burkholderia sp.
Lineage: Bacteria; Pseudomonadati; Pseudomonadota; Betaproteobacteria; Burkholderiales; Burkholderiaceae
Description: bacterial SSU rRNA
Rfam family: Bacterial small subunit ribosomal RNA
Source: RNAcentral